GAUGAACGCUGGCGGCGUGCUUAACACAUGCAAGUCGAACGGAAAGGCUCCUGCUUGCAGGGGUACUCGAGUGGCGAACGGGUCAGUAACACGUGGGUGAUCUGCCCUGCACUUCGGGAUAAGCCUGGGAAACUGGGUCUAAUACCGGAUAGGACGAUGGUUUGGAUGCCAUUGUGGAAAGUUUUUUCGGUGUGGGAUGAGCUCGCGGCCUAUCAGCUUGUUGGUGGGGUAAUGGCCUACCAAGGCGUCGACGGGUAGCCGGCCUGAGAGGGUGUACGGCCACAUUGGGACUGAGAUACGGCCCAGACUCCUACGGGAGGCAGCAGUGGGGAAUAUUGCACAAUGGGCGCAAGCCUGAUGCAGCGACGCCGCGUGGGGGAUGACGGCCUUCGGGUUGUAAACUCCUUUCGCUAGGGACGAAGCGCAAGUGACGGUACCUGGAGAAGAAGCACCGGCUAACUACGUG
This 466-nucleotide ribosomal RNA is filed under the name uncultured bacterium. Its description in RNAcentral is "partial 16S ribosomal RNA". It matches the Rfam family "Bacterial small subunit ribosomal RNA", at positions 28 to 507 of the family's 1533-position model. The record is from RNAcentral.